ACACUGGGACUGAGACACGGCCCAGACUCCUACGGGAGGCAGCAGUAGGGAAUCUUCCGCAAUGGACGAAAGUCUGACGGAGCAACGCCGCGUGAGUGAUGAAGGUUUUCGGAUCGUAAAGCUCUGUUGUUAGGGAAGAACAAGUGCGAGAGUAACUGCUCGCACCUUGACGGUACCUAACCAGAAAGCCACGGCUAACUACGUGCCAGCAGCCGCGGUAAUACGUAGGUGGCAAGCGUUGUCCGGAAUUAUUGGGCGUAAAGGGCUCGCAGGCGGUUUCUUAAGUCUGAUGUGAAAGCCCCCGGCUCAACCGGGGAGGGUCAUUGGAAACUGGGAAACUUGAGUGCAGAAGAGGAGAGUGGAAUUCCACGUGUAGCGGUGAAAUGCGUAGAGAUGUGGAGGAACACCAGUGGCGAAGGCGACUCUCUGGUCUGUAACUGACGCUGAGGAGCGAAAGCGUGGGGAGCGAACAGGAUUAGAUACCCUGGUAGUCCACGCCG
Molecule: ribosomal RNA, 500 nt
Filed under: Bacillus pumilus
Lineage: Bacteria; Bacillati; Bacillota; Bacilli; Caryophanales; Bacillaceae
Description: bacterial SSU rRNA
Rfam family: Bacterial small subunit ribosomal RNA
Source: RNAcentral